CAGAAUAUGCUCUUAUUUGGAGAUGUGCUUUCUACAGCAGUAAAUUAAAAUGAAGGCAUUAGGGUGGACCCUUGCCUACUGUUGUCCUUGUAAAAAGGGGAAGUUUGGUCACCAAGACAGACACAUGGAGAGUGACAAAGAUUGUUGGCCACCACCAGAUGCUCAGAGAGAGGCCGGGGGCGGGUCCUCCUCACAGUGCACAGAAAGGACACACCUUCGAGCCUGAGACCGAACAGAGCUGCUGGUGGCUGCUCUUGCAGUCCAAGCAAACCAAGAGAGGCAUGAGAACUGGCUGCCCCAUGGGAAGUCUUUGCCACGGCAUGCCCCCCAGGCAGGCUGCCCUCUUCCUCCUUGGGGGAGCUCUCCUGUAUCCCCCGUCAAGGGAUGGGGACAGCUGAUGCGAGGUCCAGUAGCACCGACUCAGCCUCCCUACACCUCUAAGAGGAGUUUCUCCCAGCCUGGGGCCGUCCCUGCGGAAAGGUGACACGUGGCCUGAGGACAUCUGGGAUCUUCAGUGUUAGGAUUCAUAGUUCCUUGAAGAACAGCCAGUCACAAAUUAACUGUAAACAAGUCAAAAAGGCAGGGAUUCAAUUUCCUCCACGUGCGAAUGAAUUUGCAGAUGUCAAGUGGUGUGGAUGUGUUUUUAAGGUACCCUGGACACUGGCUUAUGCUGGCUGCUGAGGACCUGGGGACAGGCAGACGGCAACCAUGGCAGAGUGUCAGCUGGGAAGUCCGAAUCCCAGGAGGCCAGCGGCGUGAACUCAGGAAGCUGCCCACAUCCGCUGCACGAGCCUCCCAGCAGCCCUCAUCACUGGCAGGACAUUCACAGUUCACUCUUGGAGCCUGCCUGGCCCAGGGCUCUGUCCUGCCUCUGCAGUGUGCUUUGGGGCUGCCCUGGAGUGACACCCUCACCCCUCCGACCAUGCUUGAGACCAGCCAGACCCACUGCCUCUCACUGCUCCCCCAGGAGAAUCUGCGGGAUCCCCGCCCUGAACUUUAGCACCUGUCCUCGUAGGCACGACCUUGUGUUGCUUCUCCACUCUGGGAUCCGGUGAGGUCUCUGUGACCCAGCUUUCCCUUCUCUGGCACUCUGGCCUAUUGUGGGAUGGACUCUCUCCUUCCGAUAUCCCAGCCCCUGACCUUCCCCACCUGACCUGCCUAUGCCCAGGCCCAGAGCAGCAGCAGCAGUGCAGCCAUUCAGAGCGAGAAAUAAAGAGUGACCCCAUGCAGAUGCUGACAUGCAGGUGCGCGUCCCAGCCGCACUCCAGCUCGAGGAGCUCUGUGCAGCUGCGGUGAAGAGCUCGGGCUGUGCUGUGCUCUGUGCUUCCUUCAUUGCCCCAGGAAGGCAGUAUCUGUAAGAGAAGAGUAAGGACACAGGCAUAUGGUGGGUGGAAUGAAUGGAACCCCAAGACCUGAGACCCAGGACAAGAGCCAGGAUGGGCACAUGGGAGCACACACACCUUUGGAAGGGGGAGCACUCAAUGAGAUCAGCAAUGUGGAAUUGUCUGAAGCAGCAGUGAGGAGCCAGCAGUUGGACUCUGGAGAACUCCACCAACAAAAUCCCAGUCCCAGCCCCGACGUCCAGAGGACAAGAUCAGCUCCAUACCCAGCACAUUUCUGGGAUUAAAUAUGGACACUAUCA
This is a long non-coding RNA of Chinchilla lanigera (long-tailed chinchilla), 1642 nucleotides long. The record is from Ensembl. Lineage: Eukaryota; Metazoa; Chordata; Mammalia; Rodentia; Chinchillidae.